CCUACGGGGGGCUGCAGUGGGGGAUAUUGCACAAUGGGGGAAACCCUGAUGCAGUGACGCCGCGUGGGCGAAGAAGUAUUUCGGUAUGUAAAGCCCUAUUAGCAGGGAAGAAGAAAUGACGGUACCUGAGUAAGACGCACCGGCUAAAUACGUGCAAGCAGCCGCGGUAAUAAGUAUGGUGCAAGCGUUAUCCGGAUGUACUGGGUGUAAAGGGAGAGCAGGCGGCACGGCAAGCCUGAUGUGAAAGCCCGCGGCCCAACCGCAGGACUGCAUUGGGAACUACCGGGCUGGAGUGCCGGAGAGGUAGGCGGAAUUCCUAGUGUAGCGGUAAAAUGCGUAGAUAUUAAGAGGAACACCAGUGGCGAAGGCGACCUACUAGACGGUGACUGACGCUGAGGCUCGAAAGCGUGGGGAGCAAACAGGAUUAGAUACCCCAGUAGUC
RNAcentral lists this ribosomal RNA (442 nucleotides) under uncultured bacterium. RNAcentral's name for it is "partial 16S ribosomal RNA". It matches the Rfam family "Bacterial small subunit ribosomal RNA", at positions 338 to 795 of the family's 1533-position model. The record is from RNAcentral.